RNAcentral lists this transfer RNA (70 nucleotides) under Halichoeres nigrescens (bubblefin wrasse). RNAcentral describes it as "tRNA-Ser". The record is from RNAcentral. Lineage: Eukaryota; Metazoa; Chordata; Actinopteri; Labriformes; Labridae.
GAGAGAGGCCUGCUAGCAGCCUAGAUUGCUAACCUUCGUUUACCCGGGUUGAACUCCUGGGCUCUACUCU